GCUUGGUCCUCCUCUCCUCAGUCCUCACAUCCAAAAAGAGAUUCUUCUUCUUUUACUUCCAGCGAAGGAAAGCGUAUUCCUCGUGACCUCUCUUUCCCCUCACUGUUCUUCCUGGGGUUUAAAUCCCCAGCUACGCGAUCCACCUAGCUCGCCAGAGAUUGAGGAAGGCUUGUUCGCUGGAAAAUGACGUCAGACGGGGCCACUUCGACGUCAGCGGCUCCGAGGAGGAAGCCGUCCUGGCGAGAGCGAGAGAACAAUAGGAGGAGGGAGAGGAGGAGAAGAGCCAUAGCUGCUAAGAUUUUUACUGGGUUAAGGGCUCAAGGGAAUUACAAUUUACCUAAACACUGUGAUAAUAAUGAAGUCUU
Molecule: unclassified non-coding RNA, 365 nt
Filed under: Hevea brasiliensis (rubber tree)
Lineage: Eukaryota; Viridiplantae; Streptophyta; Magnoliopsida; Malpighiales; Euphorbiaceae
Source: RNAcentral